Long non-coding RNA from Bos taurus (domestic cattle), 1505 nucleotides. The record is from Ensembl. NCBI's taxonomy places the organism in Eukaryota, Metazoa, Chordata, Mammalia, Artiodactyla, Bovidae.
UCACAGAUCUGUGCUUGUUUAAGUAAUGGCAGAGCCAUAAAACCCCUCCCCAGAGGGCCCCCAGGCACACAGAUCCUGUUCUCUGGAGAAAGGCCACAGACCUGCCCUCACUCAGACCUCUCUCUUCUAACGGAAUUUGCUGAAGGCCAUGAGGGGAAAGAGUAUGGGUCCCAGCUGGGAUACCUAUCUAGUGUUGAAGCCCUGCAGAUAGAGGGUCAGGAAUACCAUCUCCUGCAAGAGAACAGCCCGGGGUGAACUUGGGUCAUCAGAGAACAUUCGGGUGUUAGUGUCUACCAUCCAAGUGCCCGGGCAUCAGGAGCUGCCUGCCAAGAAGUAUCAGAUGUGGCUCUUGCCCUUGGAAAGCUUACGUUCUGGAUAAAAAGAAAAUGAACAACAGAUGAAACGUUAAAGAAAUGGCUUAGCUCUUAGGAGUGGUUUGUCUCUUGGAAGGUGGCGCACAGACACAGGAGGUGGUGACAGGCCAGGGCAAAGGGCACGGGACCGGAGUCUACAGUCUCGUCCUGCCAAGCCUUCAGAGCCCCACGCCUCUCUCUGUAAAACAGGAUGAUGGUGCCUGCUUCCCAGGGCUGCCUGGAGGGUCACGUCCGGAUGCAGGGAGAAGAAGCUGGCCCCAACCCAGCGUGCUCCUGUCCCAGGAUUUCUGUGAUGGGAACGUGAUUGUGAAGCCUGCGGUCCUAGAAGACUGCUUACCAGCUCCUCAUCCCUUCUUUGCUAUUUCCUGGGAGUUGCUGCCAAUCUAGACCCCGUGGACUUGUAGAUUUACAUCAUCUGUGCUAUUGGUUACAUCUGCCUGGAAAACUCUGCCGAAUUCAUUUUAAAAAUACACGGUUGAAAUGAUUUCCCUUAAUACCCCAGCAAACCUCCACAUGGCUAUUUUGUAGUCGAGGCAGGCUCCACUUUAAUCUACUCCAGAGCCACUUACAUUCUCUGCACCUGGAAUGAGAAUAUCCACAUCAGUUAUGUUUCCUGUGUUUCAGCAAAGGCUACAAGUCAAAACUAUAAUUUUGGUCCCGGGAUGAACUAGAAGGUACUGGAGGUGCUUGAUCUGUGAAAUUGGUUUUGAAAGACACAGGGAUUUUUUAAUUCUGCCAAUUCAAAGUCCGGUUAGUUUGUUGCUUUUUCAGUGCCCUUUGAAGAGCCUGUGUGACAAGUGAGUGAUGCCAGUUACAGUUCAUCAUGGCAUUCAUGGUCCUAGUACCUUGGCCAGGGCAGAGCGCCCUCCUCAAUGAAAGGCAUCAUGUCUUAUUUCUAGCUAACCGAGGUCCUGCAUUCCUGCAAGAGUAACUUACACUCAACCCACCCCAUAGAUUUUCCACUGCCACCAGCUUCAUGACAGGUUCUGACCCUCAGAAAACCUAAAAAAAAUAGACUGAGAGCCAGGAUGCCUGCCACCCCAGGGCUGGAUCACUAAUACUUAUACCUGCCAUUUUUUGAGUCCCAACCCAUAUCAGCUCCUGCCUCAGGUGCUUUGCACAUAUCACCUC